This is a long non-coding RNA of Salvelinus fontinalis (brook trout), 2693 nucleotides long. RefSeq lists it as uncharacterized. NCBI's taxonomy places the organism in Eukaryota, Metazoa, Chordata, Actinopteri, Salmoniformes, Salmonidae. The transcript has 3 exons. The record is from RefSeq and is a predicted model, not a curated record.
UCUUAAAAAUGCUGCAUCCUUUUGACGAAUGAUGGCACUGCACUUCAUGCGAAAACCACAAGCACAAGUUUUUUUUUGACUACGGUAAUGACAAGCACAAAAAGAUCUCCUUGUGAAUGUGGUUUCGUGAGGUGACAGUUAACAUUUUUGAAGUCAGUGGACGUUAGGUUCUCUACUGCACCGUUUGUUAGCAAGCAAGGCAAGGAGUAAACAUGUACAUAGAUACCAAUAAUGAAAGGUAAACUAGCUAUAUUUUAAAAAGCUGCCAAUUUGUAUAGUAUCAAACUAGCUAGCUAGCUAACUGUUGAUCCAGCUAAUGCUAGCUAGCUAACAACGUAACCAUUAAUGUUCGCUAGCUAACUAGCUUGCUAACUAGCCAGUUAGGUAACAGCUAGCUAGCUUGCUAGUCUGCCUUUGAGCAUACCUAAAGAGCAUUUCGCAAGCUAGACUAAAUAAGUUAGACUACAGUUAGCUAGCUUCUCCUGAAGUCUUCUGGUCCAUAUUAUAGGACCUGUGAGAAGUACAGAGGCUUGACAACAGAUGUAUUGAGGGACAGUUUAGCAGAGAACAAUCCUCAAAUUGCUGAUGCUUUUCACAGUGAGUUUGACUAACGUUAGACAGAACUGGAGUUGCUAGCGGCCAUACGUUUUCUAGCUAGCAAACGGCCAGGCUGUAACAGGAAAUGGAUGCCGGUGAUAUCCUACUGGUCUUUCCCAACAAUUUUGGGGUCUUGAAGGCUCUGCGGCGCCUCCUUGAUCAACUAAUUGAAGCAAAAACGUCUGCAAUUUCGAUUUCAAUUACUCCCAGCUUGCAUCUACAUAGUUUUUAUUUUAUAAAGAUUUAAUUUAAAUGUUUGUAUUGUAUACCAAUUUGCAGAGUAACAAAUCAGCAGAGAACUGCAUCAAGUCCAAGAAAGGAGAAAGGAAAUCUAAUUAUACAAUCAUCAACAGUAUUUAUUUGAUCAUUUCAAUCGAUGCAUCUAAUUUAGCAGAUAAUUUGCCUUUCAUAUUUUCUGUUUGUCUCCCGUCUCUUGUUUUAUGGCAAUUCUAAGAGAACAGGAAGGAGGGAGAGGAACGCCACAGAGCAUCACCAUGACACAGCCCCCACACCACUAGAGGGAUAUCUUCAACCACCAACCCACUACCCUGAGACAAGGCCGAGUAUAGCCCACGAAGAUCUCCCCCACGGCACCAACCCGGACAGGAAGAUCACGUCAGUGACUCAACCCACUCAAGUGACGCACCCCUCCUAGGGACGGCAUGGAAGAGCACCAGUAAGCCAGUGACUCAGCCCCCGUAAUAGGGUUAGAGGCAGAGAAUCCCAGUGUAGAGAGGGGAACCGGCCAGGCAGAGACAGCAAGGGCAGUUUGUUGCUCCAGUGCCUUUCCGUUCACCUUCACACCCCUGGGCCAGACUACACUCCAUCAUAGGACUUACUGAAGAGAUGAGUAAAGGCCGAGACCGAGUCUGCGUCUCUCACAUGGAUAGGCAGACCAUACCAUUAAAAUGGAGCUCUAUAUGAGAAAGCCCUGCCUCCAGCUGUUUGCUUAGAAAUUCUAGGGACAAUAAGGAGGCCUGUGUCUUGUGAUCGUAGCGUACGUGUAGGUAUGUACGGCAGGACCAAAUUGAAAAGAUAGAUAGAUAGGAGCAAGCCCAUGUAAUACUUUGUAGGUUAGCAGUAAAACCUUGAAAUCAGCCCUUGCCUAAACAGGAAGCCAGUGUAGAGAGGUUACCAAAUGUGUUGGUUCUAGUCAAGAUUCUAGCAGCCGUGUUUAGCACUAACUGAAGUUUAUUUAGUGCUUUAUCGGGAAGGCCGGAAAGUAGAGCAUUGCAGUAGUCUAAUCUAGAAGUGACAAAGCAUGGAUACAUUUUUCUGCAUAAUUUUUGGACAGAAAGUUUCAGAUUUUUGCAAUGUUUCGAAGAUGGAAAAAAGCUGUCCUUGAAACAGUCUUGAUAUGUUCGUCAAAAGAGAGAUCAGAGUCCAGAGUAACACAGAGGUCCUUCAGUUUUAUUUGAGAUGACUGUACAACCAUCAAGAUUAAUUGUCAGAUCCAAUAGGAGAUCUCCUCGUUUCUUGGGACCUAGAACUAGCAUCUCUGUUUUGUACGAGUGUAAAAGUAAAACAUUUGCUGCCAUCCACUUCCUUAUGUCUGAAACACAGGCUUCCAGGGAUGGCAAUUUUGGGGCUUCACCAUGUUUCAUCGAAUUGUACAGCUGUGUAUCGUCCGCAUAGCAGGGAAAGUUAACAGUAUGUUUCCGAAUGACAUCACCAAGAGGUCAAAUGUGUAGUGAAAACAAUAGUGGUCUUAAAACGGAACCUUGAGGAACACCAAAAUGUACUGUUGAUUUGUCAGAGGACAAACCAUCCACAGAGACAAACUGAUAUAUUUCUGAAAGAUAAGAUCUAAACCAGGCCAGAACUUGUCCGUGUAGACCAAUUUGGGUUUCUAAUCUCUCCAAAAGAAUGUGGUGAUCGAUGGUAUCAAAAGCAGCACUAAGGUCUAGGAGCACGAGGACAGAUGCAGAGCCUUGGUCUGACGCCAUUUAAAGGUCAUUUACCACCUUCACGAGUGCAGUGUCAGUGCUAUGAUGGGGUCUAAAACCAGACUGAAAUGUUUUGUUUACAUUGUCUUCAGGGAGGCAGUGAGUUGCUGUGCAACAUAUUUUUCUAAAAAUAAAUAUAUUUUAUCUCUU